RNAcentral lists this non-coding RNA (175 nucleotides) under Candidatus Cloacimonadota bacterium. Its description in RNAcentral is "6S RNA". It matches the Rfam family "6S / SsrS RNA". From Rfam's summary of the family: E. coli 6S RNA was the first non coding RNA to be sequenced, but its function was unknown until recently. It consists of 184 nucleotides that fold into an extended hairpin structure with a large single-stranded internal bulge. The record is from RNAcentral. Lineage: Bacteria; Pseudomonadati; Candidatus Cloacimonadota.
AACCGCCUGCGAUACGCGUGAUCUGAUUUGUAGUAGAGUCACAUACGUCAAGGGAAUCAAGCCAUUGGCAGCACGCAUGCCGUCAUCGUCACGGACACGUAAAACCAACAAGGUAGAUGCCCACCUUGAAAUAGACUCUUGACGGACAAAUUAACACGGUAAUCGCGGGCUUAAU